Long non-coding RNA from Anser brachyrhynchus (Pink-footed goose), 1575 nucleotides. Lineage: Eukaryota; Metazoa; Chordata; Aves; Anseriformes; Anatidae. The record is from Ensembl.
CACUAGUGAGCCGCAUUUUCAAAACAGAAUUUUAUGAUGAACACUAAUAACACAGAUUAUUCCCCUAAACUUUAUGGUAAAAAAUUAAUCUGUGGUUUCAAUGUGAAGCUGCAGCUUCCUCAACAUUUAAGCAUAUGCUUGAUUUAGGCGCUCGUGUGAGCCCAGAGUUUCCAUGGGAACCACUCAGGCAUGUUCAGGUGAGGCCAAAGGCACAGGGCUGCUGCCUUGGGAGCAGGCUGCAGGCCCGUGAGGCAAAGUUUGUCUGAGAGGGGCUGAGCCUGGCCGUUAGGUGGUAGGAGGCUGCUGCCUUUCAGCUGUGCCCAGGGCAGCAAUCGGGCAGACCUAGGAUAGGAGGCAGGUGGGACCUCCCAGAGUCCAGCUGAGGGAGAAAUGGCCAACAGGCCAGCUGUGGAGGAGACAGGUCUGGGCUCCCCUCCCACACCAAAAGAAAAGAAAUGACUUUAUUUCCCGUUAAGGGAGUAGCUGGAGCAGAAAUAUGGCCCUGGCUUUUUGCUUUCCUGAGGGAAGUGAGCCCUAAUAGUGGCACAGAGAAGCUGUGGGGAAUGAAGGUAACUGGUGUCCAGCUGCAGGCCCUGAGGGAGCCCUGGGGCUGGCUAAAGCCAACGCUGGAGGCCCUGUGAGACUUUCCAGAACAUUGUCAUGUGUGGAUACGUGCAACGUAUUAGGUUGUAAUGACCCUAUGAGAGCAAGCAGGAGGUGACAAGAGCUGGUUACAGGUCAGGGGCAUGAGAGAAGCUGAAGGGUGAGCUGCAGUCCCUCCCAACAGCAGGGAGGGGUAGGAGCAGCCCCGAGGGCUCAGUCCCAUCCCCAGGAGAUGGAGUGUGACCCUUAUCUGAGGGGAAGGAGAGCAGAAGCCACAUGUGGUUCACACUUCUCUCCUUCUUUCCUCCCAGCUCCAUUUAUGUGCUGCCCAGUGCAGCCCUACCAAAGAGCGUUGCUGACAGAGCCUGCUGCAGAUGAAGCUUGAACAAAGACAUGGGUGUAACUCUCCUCUGCUGGGAAAGAGAAACUUGGAUAACUGAAGGUAUCAGGCCUGUCUGCUUCUCUUCAGUCAGUUGUAAGGCAUUCGUAAGGGUGAAGAUGGUAGUCUUCAGUUUCAUCCCAGACAUGUCUCCAUAUUACUGCAGUGCCCAAAUGGAUCCAAGGCUGCGUGUGAGUUGUUCGAGAAAACAAAAAUUUUCUGCUGACUAAUGAGUCUCUGACUUCCUCCAGUCUACCAAAUGUUCUAGUGCUGCAGCAGACAGCAUGGCUGCCUUUUGUUAGCUUCUCUGUGCACUAAUAUCACCGACACUACUGUGGACACCUCCAGCAGGCUCCCUUUCUACGUCUUAGAACAAAAGGUUGUUUCUUGAAUAGCAACUCUUAAUUCUUAGGUGCUUAUAAACAACUUUUUUUUUCAUCUGUUUUCCAAGUAACAAAAUGUUUUUACCUUGAUAUGAGGAAAACUUUUUUAGGAUGUGGGCAAAAAACGUAUAUUCCUUGCAGUAUGUGGGCAAAAAAUGUAUAUUGCUUGCAUGCUCCAAGUAAUAAAUAAAAUCAUGGGGAAUUUGUUCA